AAGAUAAGAAUUGUUUCUCAUUCUUUUCUCUGAUCUUCUCACAGCCAGGACAAUUCCUGGGAAAGUUGUGCUUGUUGCUCUCUGUGGCUAGAGAUCUGCUGCCACACUCCUUCUGCCAGGAGGGGACAACACAUCACCACAGGGCUUGGUCACUGCUGUGGAAGUGUCCCAGUUGUGCAGGACUUAAGAGAUAAGAUGAUAAAAGACUCAAGGUGGCAUGGGGAACUUUUCCCAGAAUGAAGGGGAUAGGAAUACGGGCUAAUUUCCAGGAGGGUGUCAUGAAGGUCUUGCAUAUGAAAAUGAGAGAGAACCUACCCUUGGCUAAAAGAAAAGCCCCAACAAUUACAGUGAGAGGCUUGCAUUCAGCUUGAGUAGAAGGAGAAAGAUUAUUUUUAUGCUCCAAUUUCAGAAAGCCGCUUUCAGUUUGGAAACAGCUGUUAAUAACUCCAGGAGUGGGGUGGGAGGAAGAUUUUUGCUGUGGGAGGAAGGAGCUGAUCUGGGUCUCAGAAGCUGCUGGCUCCAUUCCACCCUGCCGUGCCCUCACUAGGCAGCUUUGAGGCAGUCUCAGUCUGAGCACUGGGGCUUCCCCACCUGUGCAGCCCAGACAAUGAUCAGAUUUGCCGGUUUUUCACUGCCCUUUGCUCAUCAUCAGCACACAAACUGCCCCUGGACUGCAGACACUGCCAUUCACUCUGGAUUCACACUUUUUGGCAGCAAUAACCCCCAAACCUGUGAAAAACCAAGAAUCUCAUCCAGAACAAACAUCUGCUCCAGGUGGAUGUGUCCUGCUGGCUCACAGACCAGGUUGUAUCACGUGCAAAAAUUUAACUUGUUACUCUGUAGCUGGUGAAAUGCACUGCUGAACCUUCCCUUUAUCCA
Passer domesticus (house sparrow) is the source of this 879-nucleotide long non-coding RNA. RefSeq lists it as uncharacterized. The record is from RefSeq and is a predicted model, not a curated record. The transcript is spliced from 3 exons. NCBI's taxonomy places the organism in Eukaryota, Metazoa, Chordata, Aves, Passeriformes, Passeridae.